AGAUUGGCAUGGGUGAGAGCCUGAUCAGCCUCCCGCGUGAAGGACGACGGCCCUAUGGGUUGUAAACUUCUUUUGUAUAGGGAUAAACCUUUCCUCGUGAGGGAAGCUGAAGGUACUAUACGAAUAAGCACCGGCUAACUCCGUGCCAGCAGCCGCGGUAAUACGGAGGGUGCAAGCGUUAUCCGGAUUUAUUGGGUUUAAAGGGUCCGUAGGCGGAUCUGUAAGUCAGUGGUGAAAUCUCACAGCUUAACUGUGAAACUGCCAUUGAUACUGCAGGUCUUGAGUGUUGUUGAAGUAGCUGGAAUAAGUAGUGUAGCGGUGAAAUGCAUAGAUAUUACUUAGAACACCAAUUGCGAAGGCAGGUUACUAAGCAACAACUGACGCUGAUGGACGAAAGCGUGGGGAGCGA
This 409-nucleotide ribosomal RNA is filed under the name uncultured bacterium. RNAcentral describes it as "bacterial SSU rRNA". It matches the Rfam family "Bacterial small subunit ribosomal RNA", at positions 359 to 771 of the family's 1533-position model. The record is from RNAcentral.